This 300-nucleotide signal recognition particle RNA is filed under the name Prolemur simus (greater bamboo lemur). RNAcentral's name for it is "Metazoan signal recognition particle RNA (ENSPSMG00000005449.1)". It matches the Rfam family "Metazoan signal recognition particle RNA". From Rfam's summary of the family: The signal recognition particle (SRP) is a universally conserved ribonucleoprotein. The record is from RNAcentral. Lineage: Eukaryota; Metazoa; Chordata; Mammalia; Primates; Lemuridae.
GCUGGACGUGGUGGCGCGCACCUGUAGUCCCAGCUACUCGGGAGGCUGAGGCAGGAGGAUCGCUUGAGUCCAGGAGUUCUGGGCUGUAGUGCACUAUGUCGAUCGGGUGUCCGCACUAAAGUUCGGCAUCAAUAUGGUGACCUCCCGGGAGCCGGGGACCACCAGGUUGCCUAAGGAGGGGUGAACCGGCCCAGGUCAGAAACAGAGCAGGUCAAAACUCCUGUGCUGAUCAGUAGUGGGAUCGUGCCUGUGAAUAGCCACUGCACUCCAGCCUGGACAACAUAGCGAGACCCCAUCUCA